UGACCUCGGAUCAGGUAGGGAUACCGCUGAACUUAAG
RNAcentral lists this ribosomal RNA (37 nucleotides) under Umbilicaria rigida. RNAcentral's name for it is "partial 28S ribosomal RNA". The record is from RNAcentral. Lineage: Eukaryota; Fungi; Ascomycota; Lecanoromycetes; Umbilicariales; Umbilicariaceae.